ACAUGGAAUAAUUCUUAUCGCUUUAAGUCCAUUCCAUGAAAGUAAUGCUUACAAAUUAAAUUCCUCCACCUUUUGCUGCUACCUUGCUUGUGUGUGGGUCAGGCAGGGGAAAUCAAAUCCAACUAAGUGCAUGAAAAUGGAUUACGUACGUUGGUUGUAUAUCUGGGUCUGGGAUCGAUUAAAUCAGUGACGCUUGCAAUGACAAUUUUUCAAAUGCGUGCUUCUUCCUUCAGACUUUUGCGUCGUAGCUUCACAUAAAUUGAUGUGUUGCAUUCUCUCAGCCAUGCACCUUCAGUGGCAGAUACUUCUCGUCAAAUCCCAAGAUGCUUACAAAUUACAAUGGCCCGCACUCAUGGAGAAUUCACUAUUUUGUUCUUCAUUUCCUAUCAGAUACAGUUUGGUCUUGGGUCUAGGUCUUCUCGUUCCUUUCCGAUAAGUCCGAAGUGAGGGGAUGCCUGUAAAGACACUCCAACGUUUAAGUAAGUGCUCGGUGUAUUAAAUGCAGUAAUUGAAAGUUAGUUACGUACCUCGUUGUGGUCCUAUUUAUAGUGAUUCUUAUUGGGCCGUGAUUAGGGACUGA
Cajanus cajan (pigeon pea) is the source of this 580-nucleotide long non-coding RNA. RefSeq lists it as uncharacterized. The record is from RefSeq and is a predicted model, not a curated record. NCBI's taxonomy places the organism in Eukaryota, Viridiplantae, Streptophyta, Magnoliopsida, Fabales, Fabaceae.